CUGCAGCAUAAAAAGAGAAGCCUUUAGGAACCAUUAAUAUGCAUGCUGCCCAGAAGAAAAGCAGGUUCAUAAAUUUAUAGGUACUGUUGUCUGAGAAAAAAAACUAGAGGAAAGCAACCAGACCAGUAAUAAUUUACCAGCCCAGUAUCAACCUCAUGAUGGCAGUUUGCUUCCACUCUUUCAGGAUAUUUUUCCAACCUCUGAGACAAACACAAGUUACAUUAUUUAAACCUGCUUCCCUUAAAUUAUAAGAAUCAUGGCUCCCUUUUGGUUUUUAAGCUUGCUCAACCUAAGUGAGAUAAAGCUCCUCUUGUGUGGGCGGUCACUAUUCACUGUAAGGGAACUUAACCUGCACACUUACUAUUGCAGAGGACAGAGUUUUAAUGGAGACAAGAGGCAGAGAAGAAAAACUUACUGUAAAGGUGAAGUAUGAGAAAGUACUUAGAUACCAUCUAUUAACAGUUUACAUGAAUAUGCAUAUACACACAAAUAUGACUUGUCAAACAUUUAAAAAAGGAAACUUUCAUUAUUUUAAUUUAUGCCAUAAUAAUAUUCCCUGUUUUUUUGUUUUAGAAUCUAAAAAAUAAGUUUUAGAGUUGUAUUCUCAGCACAGGCAGUUUCUUCUAGAAGAAUAAAGUCAGUUUAAACGGGAAACUUUCAUUCUCCCAAUCAUCAGGAGUGAUUAUGUUUCUAGGCAACUGCUGGGGUUACUCUUAGCUAUGGCCCAUAAGGAAGAGCCCCAGCAGUGGCUGGAGCUAUAGUAAGUUAGUAAAGACCAUAGAUUCCAAGAAUACCACUGAUGGGAAAGCUCUUACAUUGCUUUUAUAAAUAUGUAAAUGGACCAUACUUUUUCCUUGUCUUUUUCACUCUUCCAACGUUAGCACUCCUCCUACUGUAUACAAGGCUUGGGUAUUUUAUUAAGGACCAUUUAAUGUACAUAGAGCAAAGGAAAACCUUGUUUAUGAUAUACCCAUAACAUUUACACUUGCUUGUACUUAAAGGACAUGCAUGGAAUAAAACAGCAGUAUUUGACAAAAUACAGAAAAGACCUAAGUUCUAGCUUCAACUGUAAGUAAGAAUGCUUUAUUACUUUCAGAUAUGCACAGUAGCUCAAACUCAUCAAAUUGUUAAGAUUCUAGCAAAUUACUUCAAUGACUAGAUAUGAAUCCCAUAUGAUGACAAAUUGCUUAUAAGCAAAUGGAUUUUUAAGAGCCUUAAGCAAUUAAGUAGCCUAAGCCAUAGGUAGUGUUUUUAUUGAACCUCAGCGGCUUGUACUAGAAGGUCUGGUGCACAGAGACCAACCUACUUGCCCAGAGGAGGAGCUUAUAGACUUAGGUGCUAAGUGACUUGCCCACGACCAUGCAGCCGCCAAUAGCACACAUGGUGCUUUCCUCUUCUCAUCAACAGUGCGAAGAUGGUCUUCAGCUCAAACUUCCCCAAUUUAUUCCAACUUCUAAAGCAGUAGUCUAAGAGUGAAAUAUUACAUAUGUAACUAUAUAUUUUCUUACGAACUUCAGGCACUAGGACAAGAAGCAGAUGAACAUGUAUAGCCAGUAUUGGGCCACCAUGCCCGUCCCACCUAGACUCAUACCUUGUCUCAUCCACUCGACCUCGUCCUCGGUGACAAAGCUGCACAAGGCUUUUGCCAUUGCCAGUCGUAUUGCUCCAGCCUGCGCUGACCUCCCGCCCCCUGAGACUGUGCAGGUCACGUCGUGCUUUCCCAGCCGGUCAACAAAGUGGAAAGGGAACAUCAGCUGUUCUCUAAAGCACAGCACAAGUAAAUGUGGUUACGUUUACUAUAAAGAUACAUAAUUAUGUAAACAACUGAAAUUCUGAAUAUUCAUAAAAACAAUAUUCUGCAUGCCACUGUUAUACUUUUCAUACUUCUCAAUCAAUCCAUUUUACCAAGAUAUAGAAACACUAACAUUUCUGACAUUUUGAAUGAUUUGCUGAGAGAUUAAGAUUUAUUUCUUUUGCUUGGGUAUAGCAACACACUCUUACUGUUUGCUGAUCCCCUUUAUCUCAGAAGAUCUUUUCAAAGCUUGAAAAUAAUCUCGUAAAGAAGUCUUACAGUUGGGGAACUCCAUUAAUCAACUGAAUUUAAUGUCUCUGGAUUGAAUGAUCAGAUAUAAAAUCAAUAGGCCUUUCCAAACAAUUAUCACAUGUCAUUUGGAUUCACUAAAUAAAGUCUACUAUAAGUGUAUCUGUAUAAUGUAUAAUGCUCAUCUUGAUAUGGUUAGUUUUUAAAGUUUCUAAAACUAUUUUCGACCUUGCACUUCCCUGACACCAAACACCUAUUCCCAAUAUUCUUAAAGUUCUCUAAAUCAUAGGGUCCUGCUACCUUCCUGGGGCCAGGUGACAUUCUACACAACCCCUGUCAGGCCUGCUCUUUCAGGGUCGGUCAGGGCCUACAAGAUCCUGGGGCAGGCACCACAGACAAAACACGGCCCUGGACUUUCUCCUGCUCAACUGAACAAGUAUUUGUUGAAUAUCAUUUUCACGCCAGGUAAGAUGUUCACCAUUACCUCUGUCAAGCACUUUGAUUUUGCUAUUUUGCCUUAAUAUCUUGCUACACUUUUAUGCAGAAAAGCUCACUUAUAUUGCGUUUGCUUUCUUUGAUGCUGUAGCUUCUAGACCCAAAAUCAAGUUUAUAUAACACAGUUAAGCUGAGAGACAGGUAUGGACAGGACAUUCAAGUGCUAUUCUUCAUACCACACUAGUAAAAUAAUCACAAGCAGAUGGGCAAAAGAUGACUUUCAAAAGCCAUAGCAAAUCGGAAUUUAUAACAAUACGAUGUAGGGAUGACAUAACUCCUACAACAACAAAAAACUCAUAAAUCUAUACUGUCUUUUUGAACAAAUGCUUCCAAGAAACCAAAUGAAAAGUAGCCAUAAGUUAUAAAAACAGUAUUAUAAGUAGUAUCUAUUAAUAUACUAUGAUAACUAAAGAAAAUUUAAGCUGAGCACCUAAAGUACAAGCUACUCAGGAGGCUGAGGUGGGAGGACUGCUUGAGCCCAGCAGCUUGAGUCCAGUCUGGGUCCAGAAGUUUGAGUCCAGCCUGGGUGACAUAAAGAGACCUUGUCUCUUAAAAAAAAAAAGUAAAUAUAAAAGAAAAUUUA
This 3119-nucleotide long non-coding RNA is filed under the name Homo sapiens (human). Its description in RNAcentral is "HSALNT0037063". Lineage: Eukaryota; Metazoa; Chordata; Mammalia; Primates; Hominidae. The record is from RNAcentral.